UACAGAGGGGGCGAGCGUUGUUCGGAAUUACUGGGCGUAAAGGGCGCGUAGGCGGCCUCUGCAAGUCGACUGUGAAAUCUCCGGGCUUAACCCGGAACGGUCAGCCGAUACUGCAGGGCUAGAGUGCAGAAGGGGCAACUGGAAUUCUCGGUGUAGCGGUGAAAUGCGUAGAUAUCGAGAGGAACACCUGCGGCGAAGGCGGGUUGCUGGGCUGACACUGACGCUGAGGCGCGAAAGCUAGGGGAGCGAACGGG
RNAcentral lists this ribosomal RNA (254 nucleotides) under uncultured bacterium. RNAcentral's name for it is "partial 16S ribosomal RNA". It matches the Rfam family "Bacterial small subunit ribosomal RNA", at positions 524 to 776 of the family's 1533-position model. The record is from RNAcentral.